This 510-nucleotide ribosomal RNA is filed under the name uncultured bacterium. RNAcentral's name for it is "partial 16S ribosomal RNA". It matches the Rfam family "Bacterial small subunit ribosomal RNA", at positions 28 to 507 of the family's 1533-position model. The record is from RNAcentral.
GACGAACGCUGGCGGCGUGCUUAACACAUGCCAGUCGAACGAAGGGCGAUGGAAGCUUGCUUCUAUCAAUCUUAGUGGCGAACGGGUGAGUAACGCGUAAUCAACCUGCCCUUCAGAGGGGGACAACAGUUGGAAACGACUGCUAAUACCGCAUACGAUCUAAUCUCGGCAUCGAGGAUAGAUGAAAGGUGGCCUCUACAUGUAAGCUAUCACUGAAGGAGGGGAUUGCGUCUGAUUAGCUAGUUGGAGGGGUAACGGCCCACCAAGGCGAUGAUCAGUAGCCGGUCUGAGAGGAUGAACGGCCACAUUGGGACUGAGACACGGCCCAGACUCCUACGGGAGGCAGCAGUGGGGAAUCUUCCGCAAUGGACGAAAGUCUGACGGAGCAACGCCGCGUGAGCGAUGACGGCCUUCGGGUUGUAAAGCUCUGUUAAUCGGGACGAAAGGCCUUCUUGCGAAUAGUGAGAAGGAUUGACGGUACCGGAAUAGAAAGCCACGGCUAACUACGUG